This 1396-nucleotide long non-coding RNA is filed under the name Corvus moneduloides (New Caledonian crow). Its description in RNAcentral is "lncRNA (ENSCMUG00000018616.1)". Lineage: Eukaryota; Metazoa; Chordata; Aves; Passeriformes; Corvidae. The record is from RNAcentral.
CGAGCGUGAUGUUACUCCUUGCCGCAGAAGCCGGGGGAGUUGUACAGCACGCUUGUGCCCCUUUGACAGUGUGACCCUGCUGGGAGAUGGGGCAGGACUGCAGGACCAGGAGCCUAAUUAGCACCAUAAUGUUGCACUGAAAUGAGCCUAGAGUGAUAGUUGCGUUUUGCGCGUAAAUCGGGACAAAAUCCUGCUUUAGUACACGUAUGGCAUUGACUAACUUGUACGCAGAAACACACACUGGUUCUGAAAUCGGCCACCACUUCACGUGUCAUCCUUCCUCCUGCAUCUGUCCCUGCACUUCUUUAGCUGACGGAUGCUGCUGACUGAAAUACAGGUUUCCCCGCAGAGGGGCCCCUGUAGCUUGGCAUUCUCAGUGUAUUUGGACGGUGUGUACUUAGUUGGAGAAGGGGUCAGGAUUUCAUACUGAGAUUAUGUGGGUUUCUUGAAAACACUUCCAUACAUUUCAGUGUCUAAAAAGAGGCCAAGUUUGGGGCCAUCACUGCUGAGCUGCAAACCGGAAACUACAGGAAAAUUUAGCAGAAGCAACUUGUGGUACACCUGUGACAGUACCGAUACACCUGGGAGAAGAAUCGGGUCUGGAGAUCUACCAGCUAAGAGUGCUGAGGCAGAACAGCUGGCUGAAGGGAAGGAAGUGUGUCUUUGGAAAGCCCCAGCUCAGCUGCUGCAGUGACUCAGAGACAGGCACUUCCAGGGACGCAUCCCUGUUCCCGGUCCCGGCUGGCCCCGCAGGUGUCCCACCACAGACGGCAGAAGCACCUAAGAUCAUCCAUGCUUGGAUUUCCUUUAUUGGCUGUUUCACAGGAGACUGCAAGGGGGGUUUUAUGCUUCCAUGGCUCCUUUCCAUCCUGCCCUGUGAGGAAGUUACCCAACUACAACGGUGUGCGGUUUCAGACAGAAAACAAAAGCUGGCUGUUUUGAAAUCAAACCAGAAGUGGCUCUAUUACACAUUUCAUGCUAUUGAAAGUAUAUUUGACUAAAUACGUAUUUAAACUAUUGUGGUAUUGUUUUGAAUUCUAAGGUUUUCAAAUGUGUCCAGUGAAUAUGUCACUUCCACAAACUAAGAUUUCAGUUUUGACAUGCAACUCACAUCUAGCCUGAAAAAUUAAUGCUGUAGUUAAAAACAUACUUUUCUUUCUUCAUUAUACUGACAGAAAGCCAAAAGCAAAAUUACCAUGGAAGCUGAAGCUGUUGCUCCUAGAGUGUAUACAGAUAGUUGCAGUAGGAAUACUUUUAUCCAUCCUGCUCAUCAUUAGUUUCUCCCAGCAAGUUCUAGCUGGGGAGUUGAUUUCUUUGGGAUCUAGAGAAUGGAGGGUGGAUUCCCCAGUCAUGGAGCAGGCUUUCACUUCAAAGCAGUUAACGCAUUGUGCACGGA